GCGGAGUGCUUGGUGUCGCAGUCGGAACUAUGAUGUGCUUUCUUCUGGCACCAUCAGGGCACCUUCCCAGAGCUCUUCAAGAAAUGCAAGGAGGGCCAGGCUGUCUGAGACACUGACAAAACCUCCUUUAUGGGAUCAGAGGAGAUGGAGCAUCUGGUGUUUGACAAAACACUGGUUCACGUGAUGAAGUCACAUGGACUUUUGGAAAAGAACCCACUGUAUUGCAGGUGUCCGAUGCCUGCCACAGCACAUGAGUCAGCAGGGAUGAACACUCUGAGAGAGUUCUGAAGCACAGAGGUUGGUGUGAGUUUAGAAAGAAAACGCCUGAUCCUCCCCACUCAUGGGAAUUCCUACUGUGGUCUCAGCCAGGUAGCAUCUAUACCAUUUAAUAGAUUUAUAACAGCAGUUCUAUAUCAGAAACAGCAAGCUGGUCUUUGGUCACUGAGAUUCAUGAGGUCUCAGCUCAGUGUCACUGGAUAUCUGUGCACCAAAAUGGGGCAUAAAGCAUCUGCCUAAAGCAUUGGCACUGCCACCAGAAGCUAUGAAGGUAGAGCCAAGAUUACUGGACACCAACUAGAACAAAAGAACACCAUGAGAAAACAGGGUACUCUACUCGGCGGGGGCUGCCAUGACAAAGUACUCGACUGGGCAGCUGAAACAGCAGAAACAUAUGUCUCCCGCAGAUCUGGAGGCUGGGAGUAUGAGAUCAAGGCACUGGCCUGAACCCCCGGCAGACACCGCACCCUGCACCCGCCACAGAACAGCGACUGAGUGUCCAGUCCAGUGGCUCAUGAGGUGUGGAAGGAGGAAGAAACAUGGACUCUGCUCCGUGAUAAAUGAGUCUGCCCCGGGAGCACAACACACCCCCUCCAUGGCCUCAUUAAUCACCCGCUCCACUGGGCAGACAGACUGGCAGUGCUGGAAUUUGAUCCCCAUUUCACAGAUGGGGGGCCAAGGCAGCAGGAGGUUAAGUGAAUUCUAGAGACCACACAGCAAGAGCAUGGGGGAGCCCAGCCUGGCCACUGCCCCAAGGCCCCAAAGUCCCCAUAGGACCCCUCAUGAAGAAGCAGGGGCUGGCAGGAGGGUCCCAGUGGAGGAGCACUGGACUUGGGUGGGGCUGCAGCAGGAUCCCCGAAGGCCUGGCUUCACAUACCUCUCGGCUUGGGGCUUCUACCAAGACACUUCUCAAGUGCCCCUUUCCCUGCCUUUAAAAGAGCUGCAAUAAUAGUCACCCUUGAUUUGAGAUCCAUUUAUUAAUAGAAUUUCCAUAUGGAGAGUCUCCAGCACACUCUGGACAUUCGGGAAUGCCGACUCUUUGACCCUGUGCCUUGCCCACAGUAGACACCUAUUACCUCCUCUUAUUCCUGGACUAAGAAAUUGUGUGUCCCCCAUGAACCCAGGAGGCCUGGGGAGGAUAGGCAGGGCCAGUCUAGGCUGUCUACGGCUCUGAGGGAGCCUACAGGGUUUCAGCCAUAUCCAUUUCUGACACUGAGAAAUCACUGUGAUUAUAAACAUCACCUUCCCCCAAAGUCCCCACAAAUCCCUGCUACUUACAUGCUCUUUGCCUGUCCACAUUUAUGAGAAGUGUUUUCUUCCUUUCUAAAGAGACCUACCUACACAGCAGAUGAAUAGCUGAGGCAUUCUCCUUCCUGUUAUGUCACAUUACUUAGCGAAGAAUGUCCUAUUUCACCACUGAUCUCAAACUAAACUUGAAUUGCUUUUCAAAUUAUUCAUAACAGUGAGUUAAUAACUGUGAAUCAAUGUCUGGUGUUGGCUAUUAAAAGAGAGACAGUGAAGCAGUGAAUAGUGAAUAGAGAAUGACAUGUAAAACCCACUUGUCUGUUAAGAUCGGAAAGCUUGCAUGGCCUGUGUUGGGGACCCGUGGAGGUCACCUCAGUCUCUCAGCCUCCUGCUGCAGGCCCCACACCCCCCAUGUCUUUCAGUCCCUCCCAGGGCCACCCCCUCCUCCUUGCCCUGCCCGAAUUCUGGCUCUCAGCCUCCGUCUCCUUCCUGGUCAGUGCUGACCAUCUUCCAGCCCUGACUCCCUGCUUAUUCAUUCCUUGCCUACUCUCCACACCAUAGCCAGAGUGUCUUCCACAAUGCAAAUCCAACCCUGUCCCCACCCUGCUUAGUCUUUAGUGACUGUCCUCAGCCUACAGAAGGGGCACACAUCAGUCUGCCAGAGCGAGUCCCACCUCCCUACCAUGGCUGCUUCCAUCCUACACUCUAUCUCCCUCUGAGCCCCUGGCAUUCUCCUC
Molecule: long non-coding RNA, 2258 nt
Organism: Callithrix jacchus (white-tufted-ear marmoset)
Lineage: Eukaryota; Metazoa; Chordata; Mammalia; Primates; Cebidae
Source: Ensembl